RNAcentral lists this ribosomal RNA (406 nucleotides) under uncultured Propionicimonas sp. RNAcentral's name for it is "bacterial SSU rRNA". It matches the Rfam family "Bacterial small subunit ribosomal RNA", at positions 356 to 774 of the family's 1533-position model. Lineage: Bacteria; Bacillati; Actinomycetota; Actinomycetes; Propionibacteriales; Nocardioidaceae. The record is from RNAcentral.
GGGGAAUAUUGCGCAAUGGGGGACCCCCUGACGCCGGCACGCCGCGAGCGGGAUGAAUGCGUUCGGGUUGUACACCGCAUUCCGCAGGGCCGCAGGUUUUCUGACGGUACCUCCAGCAGCAUCACCGGCGCACUACGUGCCAGCAGCCGCGGUGAUACGUAGGGUGCGAGCGUUGUCCGGAAUUAUUGGGCGUAAAGAGCUUGUAGGCGGUCCGUCACGUCGGAAGUGAAAACUCAGGGCUUAACCCUGAGCCUGCUUUCGAUACGGGCAGACUUGAGGGAUGUAGGGGAGAACGGAAUUCCUGGUGGAGCGGUGGAAUGCGCAGAUAUCAGGAGGAACACCAGUGGCGAAGGCGGUUCUCUGGACAUUUCCUGACGCUGAGAAGCGAAAGCGUGGGGAGCAAACA